AAAAUGCAAGCCUGCUAGCUAAAAAGCUCAAACAUUUUGUCAACUUCGUCACUAUGGUUACAUUACAUGGGAUGUCAUGGUAUGUAUGAAGCACAUUACUUUUAUCACCGCACAUAAAAACUUCAUCCUAUUCUAAAUUCACUGGAAACCAAAAGAACAGUGUGAAUACACUAGGAACCCUGCAAUCUAGACAUUAUUUGAUCGUACAAUAAAAUAAUCUGUAUCUGAAGCCAUGAUUCUUCAUCCAUAGUAAUAUAUUAACUAUCUGCAGAAGCAGAAGACAGUUGCCGGCGAGCUUGAGCAGUGAAACCAGCAAACCAAGCAACUCUCAUGAGUUGAAUACCCAGGAUCAGGAUCCACCAACAUACGAGCCCCCUAAGCAUAUGCAUCAUCCACGCCGGUGCACUGAGCUCAGCUCCAAGCUUCAACCCCCUCAUCAGCUGUAACACACGAUAUGCCUCGUAUACAACUGGAGUUGCCAACCACACUGGUGACUGCCAAUGCCAAGUCAGCAUCUCAGUCAGAAUCUGUACAGAUAGAAGCAGGAGGUAGGGACCCAACAAAACUGUAAACGAGAUAAAAGGCAGCUGUGGUUGGAGGGAGCCUUUUUGGGAUCCCAACAGCAUCAACAAAGGAAUGACAAGUCCAGACACAGAUGCAACCAUGUUCCACAAUUUGUAACUGAAAGGAGGCUUGCUAUUGCUGGCUUGUGCCAUCUUUUUUGGCCGGGAACAAGCGUCAGCCAUGAGAAGAAAAAGAGUAGCACCAAUAUUGAAGAUGCAAUCCAGUCCAAUCAAGGAAAGCAGGCUGGCUAUAUUGGGGCCUAGGAAUAUAGAAGAAAGUGGUAGCCAUAAUGUGGGCACCAUGCCAGUGGUGAGAAGAAGAGAAGGACCCAGGAGCCACAUAGGCCAUUUAAGAAACUGAAACUGCACCAAUUGCUUAUUCUUGGUAUCCGCACACUCUUCACUGGUGGCUGUUGGUGCUUCAGUUCUGUCAUUGGAAUGAAGAGUUUCAAAUAUGUUGCUACUUUUCUCCAAGAAGCUACCAGCAGCAUCAUCAGUGGGAGCAUACGUGACUGGUGAAGGCUCCCAUGGAGUUAAUUUUGUGCAGCAAACAGGAGUAUGAUUAAUCCAAAUUUUAGGGAAGUUAACAACAUGG
RNAcentral lists this unclassified non-coding RNA (1158 nucleotides) under Hevea brasiliensis (rubber tree). The record is from RNAcentral. Lineage: Eukaryota; Viridiplantae; Streptophyta; Magnoliopsida; Malpighiales; Euphorbiaceae.